RNAcentral lists this ribosomal RNA (468 nucleotides) under uncultured bacterium. RNAcentral's name for it is "partial 16S ribosomal RNA". It matches the Rfam family "Bacterial small subunit ribosomal RNA", at positions 28 to 507 of the family's 1533-position model. The record is from RNAcentral.
GACGAACGCUGGCGGCGUGCUUAACACAUGCAAGUCGAACGGAAAGGCCCUGCUUUUGUGGGGUGCUCGAGUGGCGAACGGGUGAGUAACACGUGAGUAACCUGCCCUUGACUUUGGGAUAACUUCAGGAAACUGGGGCUAAUACCGGAUAGGAGCUCCUGCUGCAUGGUGGGGGUUGGAAAGUUUCGGCGGUUGGGGAUGGACUCGCGGCUUAUCAGCUUGUUGGUGGGGUAGUGGCUUACCAAGGCUUUGACGGGUAGCCGGCCUGAGAGGGUGACCGGCCACAAUGGGACUGAGAUACGGCCCAGACUGCUACGGGAGGCAGCAGUGGGGAAUAUUGCACAAUGGGCGGAAGCCUGAUGCAGCAACGCCGCGUGCGGGAUGACGGCCUUCGGGUUGUAAACCGCUUUCGCCUGUGACGAAGCGUGAGUGACGGUAAUGGGUAAAGAAGCACCGGCUAACUACGUG